RNAcentral lists this long non-coding RNA (236 nucleotides) under Polistes fuscatus (common paper wasp). RNAcentral's name for it is "uncharacterized LOC122516992". The record is from RNAcentral. Lineage: Eukaryota; Metazoa; Arthropoda; Insecta; Hymenoptera; Vespidae.
AACCAAUCAACGAUCGUCUACGUAUCUCGCUUCUUCGUUCUGCCUACGCUAGUGCUGCUGUGUGGCCAAAUCAGGGGAUUUCAGAAGAUGAGGGUUGAUGGCUUGGGAUGACUCACCACAUCGUCAUCGUUCCAGCUGCGCGUCAUGUGGCAGACUGUACGGAUAUCUUGGUUCACAAAAAUCUAUGUAGAUUAUACACUACCAUGAACAGUGAAAUAAAUAUAUUUUCUUUAUUA